UACGUAGGGUGCGAGCGUUAAUCGGAAUUACUGGGCGUAAAGCGUGCGCAGGCGGUGAGCUGUGUCCGAUGUGAAAGCCCCGGGCUUAACCUGGGAAGUGCGCGGAAAACUGGCGAGCUUGAGUGCCGGAGAGGGUCGCGGAAUUCCCGGUGUAGAGGUGAAAUUCGUAGAUAUCGGGAGGAACACCAGUGGCGAAGGCGGCGACCUGGACGGACACUGACGCUGAGACGCGAAAGCGUGGGGAGCAAACAGG
Molecule: ribosomal RNA, 253 nt
Filed under: uncultured bacterium
Lineage: Bacteria
Description: partial 16S ribosomal RNA
Rfam family: Bacterial small subunit ribosomal RNA
Source: RNAcentral